UACGAAGGGGGCUAGCGUUGUUCGGAAUUACUGGGCGUAAAGCGCGCGCAGGCGGCUAUCCAAGUCAGUGGUGAAAGCCCGGAGCUCAACUCCGGAACUGCCAUUGAAACUGUUUAGCUUGAGGAUGAGAGAGGUGAGUGGAAUUCCCAGUGUAGAGGUGAAAUGCGCAGAUAUCAGGAGGAACACCGAUGGCGAAGGCAGGUCUCUGGGCCGCUACUGACGCUGAGAAGCGAAAGCAUGGGGAGCGAACAGG
This 253-nucleotide ribosomal RNA is filed under the name uncultured bacterium. RNAcentral describes it as "partial 16S ribosomal RNA". It matches the Rfam family "Bacterial small subunit ribosomal RNA", at positions 524 to 776 of the family's 1533-position model. The record is from RNAcentral.